UGCCAAGGGCCAAGGGUACAGGUUGCUGUCACUUAGCUGUGUCGAGUACGCUUUUUACAUGCUGGGCACAAAAGGCAUUCUUAGAAAAAGGCACAGAGUCAGAGGCUGCAGCAGGGAGGAGACAAGGUACACAGGACAGCAAUCUGAGCUUAACUGGGAGCAAAUCAGAACAUGCAAGCACAUUUGGUUGUAUUGCUGAGCUAAGCUUUGUUUGGGUCUGAUCUUCCAAUCUGUGGCCUCAGGGCAAACAGGUGAUCAGGCGCGCGCGCGUGCGUGUGUGUGUGUGUGUGUGUGUGUGUGUGUGUGUGUGUUUGUGUGUUCAGCAUUUGCGCAGCUGGCUGGCAUGGAAGAUAGACACUGUUACAAAUUCUUUACCACAAAAGAGGAACGCUGCACAGAGGUGGUCAAGAACCCAGAUACAGGAAAGCACCCAGCACAUGUACAACCCCAUCGUCCCCGAAGCUGCCUUGGCUAUGGGACUUCUUUGGCUGGUGGGAAGUUGCUGAGGGAACGGGGGAACGGGCUACUUCCAUACAGAGUUGUAACAGCCUGUCUGUGAUCUGCUGUCCCCCCUUACCUGCCUCAGUGAUGGUGGGAGUGUGUGUCUCAAUCCUGUGGGCGGGCGGGCGGGUGCCUGAGAGAGGAUGAGAAGCAGAGCCCUCUGCUGACCUGAACUAGAGAUGCAGUGAGUAAGAUGAACGGUUGCUAAAGGAUAAACAGCGUGACAUCAAUCUCAGCUCAAACGUGUGCUCUGCGGAGGGGACCCUGGACGAUCAAGGUGUCAACAGUGCUCUCGGCCUGGGCCCCCAGGAGGGAAGCUACACAUACAAUGUGGCAUGCAUAUCUGAUAGGUAAACACUAUUCGUCUAUCACAUUUUGCCUGAUCCCUCCACACUGAGACAAGCACUUGGUUGCCCCAGAGCCUACAGCCUGUCCUCUAUUAUUUCACCAGAUCUCUGACACGAUCUGUUUCUGUUUGAGUCUGCCUGCUGCGGCGUGUAGUCCGGGAUCUACUCACCGCAACCUGGAACCUGACCUGGCAUCUAGUAGAAAUUCAAGCACGCUUGCAGAACUGGAUUGGAUUGGGGUGGGGUUGGCUCAGUUUAUAAACAGACAUAUGUCAAGAAUUCAUCUUUCCUUUCUGUGGUGCACUGACUUAGGAGCAUCUUAUUAUUAAUUAUCUCCUACAGGCAAUGGAAAAAAGGACAUUUGGCCCGGAACCCCAGUUUGGGUGCCCGACAAUAGGAAAUUGGAAAUACUGUCCUGCUGAUGACAACAGCAUAAACCUUGAAAAUGCACUUUUAAUAAAGGGUGGCUAGAAUGCCAAUUUAGCACAUAACUGGUGCAUUCAGACAGAACCUAGUAAGAGGAAAGGAAAUUUACUUUCUAAGGAUUAAGUCUCCUACCCAGCUGUAAUUUAGGCUUUAAGGCUCCUCACAUGGUAUAAACAUCCCUCUAUUAAUUGGAAACAUUGCUGGUUAACAUAUACAUCUCAAUUUCAAAGUGUUUUAUAUUCUGUACUACACUUGGAAAAUAUUUUCCAAUGGGCAUGUGGCUAACCUCUCAUAUGACUUCAGGAUCAGUGCUUGGUAGAAUUUAUUAAAAGAUAAAUUCAAGUGAACUUCUGUCUUUUCAAAGGGAACAGGAAGGUCACUGCUGGAAAAAGACCAAGCUCCCUCUUUUAUGGAGGAGAAAACCAAGGCCCAGAAGGUUAGGUGACUUCCCGAAAUCACACAGCCUUCAGGCGGAGGCAGCAUCAUGUGGGAAGGUCCUGAGUCAGAGAACCUGGAGUGGGUGUGGGGUGAGGCAGAAUGGAUGGCCAGGGACUGGGGGGCCAUCUGAAGGGGUCUGGAUUGCAUUUCACAUUCAAUGGGCAGCAGUUGAAGGGUUUCAUGCAGGGAAAUGCUGGCAUCUGACCCGUGUUUUCUAGUAUAAAGACCAAACUUCUGCUGGAAGGAUAAAGACCAGCUGGAGGCUUUUACUGUGAUGCAGCUGUGAGAUGAUAGGGACCCAGGUGAAGGUGUGACAGUGGACUUGGAAAGAAGAGAAUGAGGAUGAAAUAUAUUUUAGAAUCGGGGAUGAAAUAUACUUUGGAAUCGGAAUCAAGAGGACUUGUGGGCGGUAAGGAAGGAGGGAUCAAGGGUGACUGUUAUGUUUGUGGCUUGGAUGGAGGGGGUACUCUAUAUGAGAUGGGCAGGUAUACGAACAGGGAACCAAGAAUUCAGUUUUGAACAUGUAGUAAAGUCAGGCUUGAAAUGGAAACAGUGUAAUAGAUGUGAAAUGCACAGUGUUGGCACAGAGUAAGCGUGGUGGCCUUGAUAGUGUUGUUUUUAUCACUGGCAUUUUCAGUACCACGCCAAUGGGGUUACUAAGGCCAAGGAGAAAAGAGAUUUAUAUUGUGUACUCUGGUGUAGUUCGUACACAGGCUAGUUGACUGUGUCGUGAGUGACACACACACUUAUUGGUAAAUCGAUGUGAGUGUCAUGAAUGUUCGGUAUAAAUUGGCACUCGUAGAAACGACAUUGAUUUUGGUGACUCUCCUAUAGGACAAGUCUGAGACCCGCUUUGGGUUAGAGCUGUUAAUGGUGAUCUGAAGCUUGUGUACAGAAUUUGUUGCUGAGUUUUUCCACUCCUCCAAAGUAAAGAGCUUCAACUUAUAAUAAUAAACAUCAGUACAACUACUGGUAUUCACGUUUGAUAUUGCUUAUUGUUUGGAUGUUCUUUAUCCAUUCUCUAAAAACGGAUACGUUUGCAACAUAGUUCAAAAAUGUCUUUCGCUGUCAGGAGAAACUUGACAUCAUUUUAAGAGAAGACGUCUUUAUUUUGUUUUCCAGCAUCUUGAUUUUUGGCCAGGUCUGUGCUCCGACACUCCUCUACUGCUCCCUACUGGUCAACAUUAUUCAGCAGCUGGCUAACUGCACACAUAGCAAUCCACUGGGGCACAAGUAGCAACCUUUACUCUCUGCGCUUCAUCCCAAUUUAUUUUAGAGAGAUUUAUAUGACAGAAAUAGUCAAAAUAAUGAUCCAUGUGGGGCAACGAAUGUUUUUUAGACAAUCCGUUUUCAAGGGUUUCCAUUGGGCACUAUUUAUCAUCGUUACUCCCUCUUCUCUCUUAAAGAAGGUAUUUUUAUUGACUUACAGUGUGAACUACUUGAUUCCUUGCUUUAUUAUAAAGGCUUUCGAGAAUGUUACGGUUCAACCUAUACAAGGUAUUGUUUUAAUGCCUUUAACAUAAGUCCUGGAUGCUUGCCAGAUAAAAGUCUACGAAAGUUCACAAGUGAAGGGGAAAAAAGGGAAUGACAACUCUGCCUAACCAGUUAAGGGCACCAGAUCCCAUAAAACUAAAUUCAAGUGUUCAAUAUAUGCACUUGUCAUUUUCAAUGCCUAUAAAAUUGGCUUCAGAGGUAGAUACAACUAAGAUCACAGUACUGCAGAGAUUUGCAAAAAGUAAUACUUAUGACUCUUCUUCUGUGUGAAAUAUCUUAAAUGGAGAAAAGCCCCAUUUUAAAGCAGCCAAAAUAACUUUACAACAAUAGUUGUGUGCAUGUGUGCACAAAGGUUUAAAAGAGAUGUAUUUAGUUUAGGAGACUUACCUCACGUACCAAGAUCUAUAUUAAAUGACCUACAUUUUCUUUCUUUUUUUUUUUUAAGUUUAUUGAUUUUUGACAGAGACAGAGUGCGAGCAUGAGCUGGGGAGGGGCAGAGAGCGAGGGAGACACAGAAUCCGAAGCAGGCUCCAGGCUCCAAGCUGUCAGCACAGAACCUGACGCAGGGCUCAAACUCACGAUCUGUGAGAUCAUGACCUGGACCGAAGUCGGACGCUUAACCGACCGAGCCACCCAGGCGCCCCAAAUGACCUACAUUUUCUAAACAACUGCUAUUUUUCUUUCUUGUCAGAAUAAAGUGGCUUGUAAAGGGUCUGUUCUCAGUUCCAGAAACUGAGGGCUCCUUUCGAUAAUUCGUCAGUUGUAAUUUAUAAACUAACUUGCUUAAGACCUUGAAACCCAUCUAUAUCGUGAAAAAGGUCACCUCCGCUGGGAAAAUUCAAGACGAAUUGGAGUCACAAACCCUCUCCUGUUCUCUGGUUUGGUUGCAUCACUUGGAACAUGGAAAAAGCAAUAUUCAGAUUUGCUUCAGGAGGGAACCCAGUAGCCUAGCCUGCUACUAAAUAGACACUCAUUAAAAUUGAUACUCCAUCUGAUCUCACCUAUCCUGGAGAAUUUAGGCUGUUUCGUCAGACAUCUGCUUUCCUAAGAUAAAGUCUCUCUCCAAAUAUGGACUCCACCUAGCGUUGUGACUGCAUAAAUAGGGUUAUUAGCUCACCCUUUUUUUGCAAAGCAUCUGAAGUGCCUCGCGUACGUGAAGAAGGGGAACCAGGGACCUUCUCAAAGCAUGUCUUAGGCCUACUCAUUGUUGCCUCUGCCAGGUCCCCAAACAGGAAGCCAGUGAAAUACACUGUAAAUAUGACCCCGGUUGGUGAGUUACUUCAAAGGCGUUUUUUUUUUUUUUUGUAAAACUCAGUGGCACAGGCUGUGUGGAAUAUACCGUAUUCAUACUGAAACAAAAUGAGGAAACGUGCAUAAAAUUAAAAUCACGACAUGGCCAGCUGAAGAAUUUGAGUGUUGGCUUGCUGCUAAGAGCACAUUUUUGUGCUGCUUUGUAAAAUGAUGACCUCAACACUGCCACAAAGCCACUAUUGUCAAGGGUGCGCUGCGAACACUGCUAGGAGGAUCCAACCUGCUUUUAAUUCUUUAUCAGGGAAACAAAAGAGCCACAAGGUGAUUGUCACUGGAAUCCAAUGCUUUCCGAUGGGAUCAGACUCAUAAAAGAGCUUACAGAGGUUUAAGUUGCUCUGAAAUCAAGGUCCUUUGGGGGCACAGAUGAACUCAAAGUUACCAUCAUGCGAUAGAAUGAAUAGGAAAUGGCUUAUAAACUCUAAAUGCUAAACAGGUCUAAAUAGUUCUUGUUGUUGAAUCAUCAGUGACAAACUCUUAGGUCAGCAGAGGCUUAAAAUUAUCUAGCAUUUGAUACAGAGAGAGAGAGAAGCACAGAGAACCAUAUGCAAUGUGUAACCUCAGGUUCCAUGUACUGAAUUUUUUUUUACAUUUAUUUAUUUUUUGAGAGACAUAGAGAGACAGAGCAUAAGUUGGGGAGGGGCAGAGAGAGGAGGAGACACAGAAUCCAAAGCAGGCUCCAGGCUCCAAGCCAUCAGUCCAGAGCCCGAUGUAGGGCUCGAACUCACAAACCGUGAGAUCAUGACCCGAGCCGAAGUCGGACGCUCAACCUACUGAGCCACCCAGGAGCCCCUCAAGUACUGAAUUUUGAGUCCUCUUGUCCUCAUGCACUGUCUUGGGCUUUCCAAAAUCACUGUAAUGAAAUGCAGCUGGGUUUUGUACUCCUCCCAAAAAUGCAGAAGAUGGGAAAAGGGAUUUUGCUUACUUGCCUACAUCAUUUAUAAGCUAACAUGUGAAUGAACUAUCAAACCUUCUGAAACUUAUUAAGGUGAAUUCUGUCGCCAGAAACACAUUUUAUAGCUUUUUAAAAAAGCCAUGGGGAAUUUUCAGCAGGACAUGAGUAUUUAAAAACACAACUCAUUCCGUUAAUUGGGAGCCAUACAGUUAAGCCUCAGACAAUUUAAGUUUUAAAAUUUCUCUUGGGGCUUUAGGGGUAUCGAUUAUAAAAUGCUUAUUCAAUGUUGUUCGGCUGUGUGACUGCUCCCUGGCAUUAGGGGUGAUCCCUGCUCUUCUCCAGUGCAGCUCUGAGGCUGGACAUAAUACCCAGCAUGUGUUUGUGAAAAUAUAGGAACGUAUUCAGCAUCUUCCCGAGCACAGUUUUAGGACCUUUCUCCUACAGCAAAGUUGUUUUAGUUAUUUACAAUAAAUAUUGAUUUCAUUUGGCACGAUGCUUAGCUCCAUAUUUUAUUAAUUAGCUUUAUGUUUCAUCCUAAAUACUAAAAUAGAAGUCUUUCAAGUUACCGAGGAUCCCAAAUGCAUUUAUAAGGAAAUGCUAAUAUGGUCUUUGUGACUUUGGGAAUUUGGGUGUUGAUAAAUUUGAGGGUGUUUUGGAGUGGUGUCUAAUGCCUUAUACAAAACCGUGACAGUUUUCUUCUAUUAAGAAAUCACAUCCCCCAAGGUGUCUGAAAAACUUCCUUUAGAAGAUUUCAAAAUGCCAGAUGUAAAUAUUUUUGCACUAAAACAAUAAUUCAGGGGGCGCCUGGGUGGCUCAGUCAGUUAAGCAUCUGACUUGAUUUCGGCUUAGGUCAUGAUCUCACAGUCAUGAGAUCGAGGUCCACAUCAGACUCGACACUCUAUGUGAAGCCUGCUGGGGAUUCUCUCUCUCCUCCUCUCUCUCUCUGCCUCUCCCCUGCUUGCUGCCUCUCUCUCCCUCUCAAAAUAAAUAAAUAAAUAAAUAUUUUUAAAAUUAAAAACAUAAAACAAUAAUUCAGGAACACAAACAUCAAAUGACUUUUUUUUUUUUUUAGAAGACUUUAUGAUUUUAGAAGACCCACAUAUCUGAUCGAAAUUCUAUGUCAGAGUCAGCAGAGUUAAUGUUGAGUUAGGUUGAAAAACUUUCUCGGAGCUUUUGGGUGGUUAGUUGGUUAAGCAUCUGACUUCAGCUCAGAUCAUGAUCUCACGGUUCGUGAAUUCGAGCCCCGCGUCAGGCUCUGCGCUGACAGCUCAGAGCCUGGAGCCUGCUUUGGAUUCGGUGUCUCCCUCUUUCUCUGCCCCUUCCCUGCUCACGCUCUGUCUCUCACUCUCUCAAAAAUAAAUAAAAAACAUUAAAAAAAAUUCUCUCCGAAUAUUCAACAGAUGAUACCCUGCAAAUCCAGAGUGUUCACCCGUUCUAGAACAAAGCCCUAAACACAUCUGGGAAUUUCCAGUCAGACCAGAAGAACACCAGAGGGAGUGGGCUCUGGCUGGGAGUUUUAAAAAUGCUGAAGCGACUGCCAAGAAAUAAUCUCUUCUUAGACACUGAGUGGGCAGAAGUGGUGUAUGACUCCUCUCGAUGCCCUGCUUUAGCUCUUGUCCCUGCCUGACAUCAGGGGAGGGGCAUGGGCAAGAUGGCUGCCUCCCGUGGAUUUGGCAGGAGUCUGGGACUGGAGGCUGAACCUAACCUCUUCCCUCCAGAGCUGACCCGCUUUGCAUCCUGGAGGAGAUGUCACUUUUCCCGUCCUUCUCCUUUCCCUGGGCAAUUUAGAGGGGAGAAACUGUAAAGUUCUCUUGAAGUUGCUGAUCACAUGUAAGGAGGAGAGAUUGCAGCUCAAGGGAAGAUCCUUGGGAAUCAGGGUUCAGAGGGAGAAGAAGAGAACUAGGGAGAAGAUGGAAGCCUUCCAAGCCUGCAGGGUGAGGACAUUCACACCGGUUUUUGAGGAAGAGCUCAGCUUGGGCGAAUAACACUGGCACGGAGACAGAACUUUGGUUGAGGUCGGGCAAAAGGACUUGAUCGUGGGAGACAGAUUGAGAGCCUGCUAACCACCGCCCCACAUCAGAACAGAACCGGCCUCAAGGUGACUUUGCAAUGCUCCACCCAACUGCCCUGUGAAGGAAGCACCUUUAAUUCUCUCUGGUUCCAGAGCCUGGGGUGGUGUUGUAGCUGUGGAAAUGCGCGUCUUGUGCAGGCAGGACAUUUAAUGCUGGCAUUAAGAUGUUGAGUUCAGAUUGUUCUAUCUGCCAAUACGUGACCCGGAGCUAUCUUAAAUCCUUUUGGAAUGAGGUAGGGUACACACUCAAAAAAUGUACAUGUCUGUACAAGUGGAUACAUUUCUCCAAGCAGCCUUAACAAAUGUGUGUGUUUUUUUUCUUUAAUCAGAUCUUUUAUUUACAUAUUGCAACUAAAUCAUCAAAAGACUUUCAGUGGCUUGCUGGGAUGCACGUCUGAAAGCAGCUCGAUGCUUUGGCUUUAUGUAUGUUUAUCGGCUCUGUGUAAUUUUUUACAUAUGCUGUCUCUCUCCUCGAAAUGACUGCUUCAAGAAAACUGAAAGAACAGUGACAGUGGCAAGGGGCUGGAACAUACGGGUUGUUUGGUGGAAACAAAAUGCCAUUUUUUUUUUUUUAAAGUUUAUUUAUUUUUGAGACAGAGAGAGACAGAGCAUGAACGGGGGAGGGUCAGAG
Acinonyx jubatus (cheetah) is the source of this 8111-nucleotide long non-coding RNA. RefSeq lists it as uncharacterized. The record is from RefSeq and is a predicted model, not a curated record. Lineage: Eukaryota; Metazoa; Chordata; Mammalia; Carnivora; Felidae. The transcript is spliced from 5 exons.